GCAUUCUGUCGGAUGAUCGCGCUUCUUUUUUAGAAAUAAAAAGGGUGAGGAAAGUCCGGACACCUGGAAACACGGGACCGGGUAAUUCCCGGAAUUCUCUAUCUUGAGAGUAAUUUCAGGAUAGAGAAUAUGGAAAGUGCAACAGAAAAGAUACCGCCUUGGUAAAAGGUAAGGGUGAAAUGGUGGGGUAAGAGCCCACCUACGAUUUCGAGAGAAAUCGGGAAUGGCAAACCCUCCCCCGGGUGCAAUCUCAAAUAGGCAGCCUAUUUGUAGUUUCCGCAGGGCUGCGGGUAGAGAGCAAGGACUUCGAUCGGUAACUUUCGAAGCAAGAUAAAUGAUCAUCCAUCUCCUAGGAGAGGACAGAAUCCGGCUUAUAGACAGAAUGCCCGU
Molecule: RNase P RNA, 390 nt
Filed under: Leptospira interrogans
Lineage: Bacteria; Pseudomonadati; Spirochaetota; Leptospiria; Leptospirales; Leptospiraceae
Also listed under: 1 other name
Description: RNase P RNA component class A
Rfam family: Bacterial RNase P class A
About the family: Ribonuclease P (RNase P) is a ubiquitous endoribonuclease, found in archaea, bacteria and eukarya as well as chloroplasts and mitochondria. Its best characterised activity is the generation of mature 5'-ends of tRNAs by cleaving the 5'-leader elements of precursor-tRNAs.
Source: RNAcentral